GCACCUCCCCCUUCACUGUCUUCCUCCUGCUCUGUCCAGGAGGAAGAAGUGCCUCCUUCCUCUUUGCUUUCUGCCUGAAUUGUAACUUUCCUGAGGCCUCUCCAGCCUGCUUCCUUUCCAGCCUGAGAAAAUGAUGAAACAAAGCAGAGAGGAAGAAAAUCCUGGAUCUGUCUUGGCCAAUGGUUGGAGAAAAAAGGGUAGUGCUACCUAAGAAAAUUUAAAGCAACAUCUGUCAAUAAAAUCUGUUAAAAGAGUCAAGGAGUUAUAAUUUCAGAAAUUUGAUCACGUGGGAUUUCAACAUUCAGGAUUAUGACAUUCAGAAUUGCACCUCUUGGGAUUAAAUAAGCUCCUUUAAUAAACUUCUAUUUGUUUUUCUAUUUCUAAUAUGAAAGAAACAGUAAAAUUGGUGACAGUAAGAGAUUUCAAAGUUAAAGUUUUUAAACAGGUUAAAUAUGAUACAAUUUCAGAUACAAAUGAAAGUAACUUUUUUGACACAAAAUAGUACAUAUAAUUCUAGACUAAAAUUUUGAUAAUCAGUAUAAAUAAUGAUUUAUAUAAAAUUAUGUUAUUCAAAUACAAUCAAGGAGAUAUAAAAAUAUGAAUACAACACAGAAGGAAUUACAAAAGUUGCCAGAGAUAGAAGGAGAUUUGUACAAGAAUAUUCAUUACUGCUGUGUGUGUAGUGCUAAAUUAUUGGUCCUCUAGAGGAGACUGGAG
This 717-nucleotide long non-coding RNA is filed under the name Homo sapiens (human). RNAcentral describes it as "HSALNT0264063". Lineage: Eukaryota; Metazoa; Chordata; Mammalia; Primates; Hominidae. The record is from RNAcentral.